Molecule: ribosomal RNA, 759 nt
Filed under: Lentilactobacillus buchneri
Lineage: Bacteria; Bacillati; Bacillota; Bacilli; Lactobacillales; Lactobacillaceae
Description: bacterial SSU rRNA
Rfam family: Bacterial small subunit ribosomal RNA
Source: RNAcentral
UAAUACAUGCAAGUCGAACGCGUCUCCGUUAAUGAUUUUAGGUGCUUGCACUUGAAAGAUUUAACAUUGAGACGAGUGGCGAACUGGUGAGUAACACGUGGGUAACCUGCCCUUGAAGUAGGGGAUAACACUUGGAAACAGGUGCUAAUACCGUAUAACAACCAAAACCACCUGGUUUUGGUUUAAAAGACGGCUUCGGCUGUCACUUUAGGAUGGACCCGCGGCGUAUUAGCUUGUUGGUAAGGUAACGGCUUACCAAGGCGAUGAUACGUAGCCGACCUGAGAGGGUAAUCGGCCACAUUGGGACUGAGACACGGCCCAAACUCCUACGGGAGGCAGCAGUAGGGAAUCUUCCACAAUGGACGAAAGUCUGAUGGAGCAACGCCGCGUGAGUGAUGAAGGGUUUCGGCUCGUAAAACUCUGUUGUUGGAGAAGAACAGGUGUCAGAGUAACUGUUGACAUCUUGACGGUAUCCAACCAGAAAGCCACGGCUAACUACGUGCCAGCAGCCGCGGUAAUACGUAGGUGGCAAGCGUUGUCCGGAUUUAUUGGGCGUAAAGCGAGCGCAGGCGGUUUUUUAGGUCUGAUGUGAAAGCCUUCGGCUUAACCGGAGAAGUGCAUCGGAAACCGGGAGACUUGAGUGCAGAAGAGGACAGUGGAACUCCAUGUGUAGCGGUGAAAUGCGUAGAUAUAUGGAAGAACACCAGUGGCGAAGGCGGCUGUCUGGUCUGUAACUGACGCUGAGGCUCGAAAGCAUGG